GCGACAUAGCUCAGGAGCUUAACCAGAACCUUCCACGGUAUGCUGGGCUAGUAAGAUGCCAGAAGAGCUAUGAGGAAUGGCAGAAAACUCCCGGACAAUACGCUGUCAUAGGAGGAAACCCACAGAUCAACGAUGAUGACUAUAAGAAUAUGAUCGCUGAGAUGAAAGCCUACGAGUAUUCUCCUGGAACAACAGAAUAUGAGAUUGCUGUAAAAUACCACCUUGGAUAUGUUGGAACAUAUGAAGAUCUAAAGAAUACAAUUGAAUCUGGAAGGAAAAUCGUGGAGAAGGAUCAUUUCAUUCCAAAUGGCACACUUGCUAUAGCUCGAACAAAAAAAGAAGCUCUAAAGAAACUUAAGAAUUCAGAGCGAACAGAGCAUUCAAAGCUUUAUACGCUGGUGACAAAAGAGGACAAAAAUGGAAAUCUUCACCUGGCCAUGCAGGUUCUUUACCAGGAUCACCGUAUUGCCUUGACAACUGCAAACAGCAGGGGCGCCCCAGAAUGCAGGGCACUGCUGGCUGAUACGCUACUGCGUGGGGAUGGUGAGACCCUGCUGAAACAGGCCAUGAUCAUGGCCAACCCAAUAUCUUCCCAGAAGCUCAAAAGACAAGCAGGUAUACAGAUUCGUUCAUUCCAGGGAGAAUUAAGAAGUCUUACAGAAGAAGGGACAAAUUGCUACUACAAAACCGGUUACAUGAAGUUAAUCAGCGAGUAUCAGAAGAUGGGCAUCAUCGACCAAAACGCAGAGGGUAGACUGAAGACGUGGGUGAAAGAAAAUCAGCACCUCAGCAAAAAUACACCUGAGUAUAACCAGAUACUUCAGCGCCUCAAAUCUUUGGGCACCUAGAGCAUGAGCUCUGUAGUUGCUGGUAAUAAGGGUAAAGACGGAGUGUAGCACAGUGGGUAAGGCACUGAGCUUGUAACCAAAAGGUCGCAGGUUUGAUUCCCGGGUAGGACACUGCCGUUGUACCCUUGAGCAAGGUAUUUAACCAAAAUUGCUUCAGUAUAUAUAUGCAGCUGUAUAAAUGGAUACAAUGUAAAAAUGCUGUGUAAAAGUUGUGUAAGUCGCUCUGGAUAAUGUAAUGUAAUGUAAGGACUUUACAGGGCCCAGAGUCUAGGGAGAGGCCCUAAAAAACAUGUAUUUAGCAGGCUUUGUUGUGGAGUUGGGGCCAGAAUUUCCUGCAACGCCCUGACACAGAGAUGUAAUAGGAAAUGAGAAAUUAGAGAUGGACAGACCAAAAAAUAGAAUGGAAAAAGUGAUUUUUUUACUAUCAAUUGUACACUGUAGAACUACUUUGUGAGUGUGUCCAUCUCAGGCAUAUGCUAUAAUAAAUUAAUUAAUAAUAAUAAUGAAUUAAUUCUGCUGACUUCAGGAAUAGAGAGUGAAAAUGGGUUUUCUUCCACACGCAUCACUACUGUGGCCUGCUGUUUGGUGAGAAAGGUCCAAUGCGUUGGCUACUGAUGGGUUUCACUCAGCCACCAAAAUGUGUCCGCUUCAUCCUAAUGCUUUCUCGGGUCAAUCUGUUCAUAGAUUGGCCACAGGUGCUGCUGUCUGUUCAGGUAAUAGCCACUGCAGUGCUUUCGCAACAUAAACCAAAUAUGGUGAAAGAGAAGAUGGAGAAAAUAAUCAAACCUAUAAUUUCCCGAUCAUGUUUGCAUGAGGGCAAAAUGGUCAAAAAAAGAAAAGAAAAUGAACUUCUAAGAAAAGCCUUGAUGAGCAGCAUUAUUUUUCGGUCAGUUGUCAUUUUUACCUGUGACUUUGGUUUGUGAAAGAUGAUUCCGUGCCCUGUGAUCUUCGACUUUUGUGGAAUGUUCUUUAUUUAACUUGAUGUCAACUUACCACAGAGCCAACCAGGCUAUAGUAAACAAAUAUAUUUAUGCAUGAAAAAAACAAGUCACUGGUGUAAAUUAAGGCAAUGCCUUUUUUGUCUUUGAGUGAACAUUGAACACUGUAGAACUACUUUGUGAGUGUGUCCAUCUCAGGCAUAUGCUGUAAUAAGCUUUGAUUCUGCUGACCUCAGGAA
Molecule: long non-coding RNA, 2025 nt
Organism: Anguilla rostrata (American eel)
Lineage: Eukaryota; Metazoa; Chordata; Actinopteri; Anguilliformes; Anguillidae
Exons: 5
Source: RefSeq, a predicted model, not a curated record